UACGUAGGGUGCGAGCGUUGUCCGGAAUUAUUGGGCGUAAAGAGCCUGUAGGCGGUUUGUCGCGUCUGCUGUGAAAAUCCGGGGCUCAACCCCGGACUUGCAGUGGGUACGGGCAGACUAGAGUGUGGUAGGGGAGAUCGGAAUUCCUGGUGUAGCGGUGAAAUGCGCAGAUAUCAGGAGGAACACCGGUGGCGAAGGCGGAUCUCUGGGCCAUUACUGACGCUGAGGAGCGAAAGCGUGGGGAGCGAACAGG
Molecule: ribosomal RNA, 253 nt
Filed under: uncultured bacterium
Lineage: Bacteria
Description: partial 16S ribosomal RNA
Rfam family: Bacterial small subunit ribosomal RNA
Source: RNAcentral